GACCUUGUAUUAUAAUGGUAGUAUGCCACGUCGAAUUUAUGGUCCAAACGGUUCUCGACCCUCGUGAUGAUCUCAGUUCGAGUCUGAGCAAGGUUU
Mycena galericulata is the source of this 96-nucleotide non-coding RNA. NCBI's taxonomy places the organism in Eukaryota, Fungi, Basidiomycota, Agaricomycetes, Agaricales, Mycenaceae. The record is from the annotation of a GenBank genome assembly.